RNAcentral lists this long non-coding RNA (848 nucleotides) under Homo sapiens (human). Its description in RNAcentral is "HSALNT0118374". The record is from RNAcentral. Lineage: Eukaryota; Metazoa; Chordata; Mammalia; Primates; Hominidae.
CAGGCUCCCUCGCGGGCUGUGCGUCGCGUUCAGAGCUGCCGCUGGUUGAUUUCACGGUGCUUUCCACCAGCAAGAAUUGGGGGUGGUGCCGGGCUUUGGCUUCGGCCAGCGGACUUGGGUUCCCUGGCCGCCCCAGCUACCCGUCUUCACGUUUCCAUCUGUUCUCAGCUGGGGGGUACGGGGGAAGAUGGCUGGAAGGCCCCCUGCCCCUGACUCCCACUUCCCAGCCUCUCUGACUGCGGGCUCCUUGGCCUAGCAAGGUGCAGAACACCUGCCACCUGCACCUGAGAGCCCUCCCACUCCAAAGACCUUCCGCACCAAGACCUCGUUUCUGGCAGUCAUGUCUCCUCUGAAAUAGGUGGCAGUUCACUUUCACAAUUUUUAAACUGGUGAGAAAGGACUUGAAUGUGGCUAGAGGAGGGCAGGCCGGAGGCCACACAUGCAGGAAGGUGCCUGAUGUACAAGCCCAUACUGGCCGGAAGGCAGGCCUGUGGAAAACGAGGAUCCACAUGUGUAAAUAAACGGGAACUACAGCUCAAAGGCAGUCAUACACUUGUCAUUCUUGUUUCUUCCUCUCAUGACAUGGAAAGGCAGGUAGAAAGAUCUCUUGAAGGUUGCUCCGAAGCCCAUGGGAGUGAAUGUUCCGGUGGACUUGGGGCUCUGCUGACGGAGGCCAGGCCACAAGGGGACAACGCUGGCACCAGGCCCAGUCACCUCUGUACCACUCGUUAGUAGUCUGGUUGGUGGCCGCCAGAUACAGGACAAACAACAGCUCCUCUUGGGCAGCAGUGUGUGCCUGGCAUGACCAGUAGCUGCCGGACAUGGUUCUUCCAGGAGCCUGGAUCUGG